This 903-nucleotide ribosomal RNA is filed under the name Triticum aestivum (bread wheat). Its description in RNAcentral is "partial small subunit ribosomal RNA". The record is from RNAcentral. Lineage: Eukaryota; Viridiplantae; Streptophyta; Magnoliopsida; Poales; Poaceae.
AUGGUUGGAAGCAGUCCCAUGCAGGCGGUGCUGGUGGCGCCGGGGGUGAAGGACAAGCAAGUACUCCCUUACAAGCGGGACGCGCUCAUGGAGAAGCACGCCGCCGUCAGCCUCAUGCGCUCCAUCGCCGGCUCGGGCGUGCGCAGCGCCUUCUACGUCCUCGACCUCGCCAGGGUCGUCGACCUGUACAUGCGCUGGCGCCGCGCACUCCCGGACGUGCGGGCGUACUACGCCGUCAAGUGCAAUCCGGAGCCGGCGCUGCUCGGCGCGCUGGCCGCCCUCGGCGCCGGGUUCGACUGCGCCAGCCGCAGGGAGAUCGAGGCCGUGCUCGCACUCGGCGUGGAGCAGGGCAGCAUCGUGUACGCCAACCCGUGCAAGCCCGAGGAGCACAUCGAGUACGCGGCGCAGGUGGGCGUCAACCUCACCACGUACGACUCCGAGGAGGAGGUGGCCAAGGUGAAGCGCUGCCAUCCCGGCUGCGAGCUCAUCCUCCGCAUCAAGGGCCCCGACAACGGCGACGCCAAGCCGGGACGGUACUUUGCUGAGACGGCCUUCACGCUGGCGGCGCGGGUCAUCGGCAAGCGCACGCGCGGCGAGGUGCGGGAGUACUGGAUCGACGAUGGACUCUACGGCUCCCUCAACUGCGUCCUCAUGGACGACUACGUGCCGCGCCCAAGACCGCUCGCCGCCCCAAGCACCGGCGAGGAGACGUACACUUCAACGGUGUUCGGACCGACGGGCGACUCACUUGACACCGUCGUGACAGGGUACCGGCUACCGGAGAUGAGCGUGGGGGACUGGCUCGUGUUCGACGACAUGGGCGCCUACUCGAUCGGCUCCGGCUCUCAUUUCAACGGCUUCUCCAUGUCCGACCUUACAAUAUUCUUAGCCUACUCUAGCUAG